This is a non-coding RNA of Pelobates cultripes (western spadefoot toad), 349 nucleotides long. The record is from the annotation of a GenBank genome assembly. NCBI's taxonomy places the organism in Eukaryota, Metazoa, Chordata, Amphibia, Anura, Pelobatidae.
UGUAGGUGGAAACGGCCGUGGAGGAGGAGGAUGAGGUAGCCAACACUGUAUAAAUAUAUCUAUUUUUUAUUUUAUUUGGGUAGCCCCCAAAAUAUUGGGACAUACAAACAAAACACAACUCUGUUCCGCAGAGUAGCUGUUGACAUUAUAGUUACGCAAGCACUUUGUUGACUCUAGAGAACCUCGGGCCAAUCGCACAUCCCCGUGACGGCGACUUUGCGUUCGGAUGUCAUCCAUAUCAAUUUUCGAUGCCAGUUUCUGUGCUUACCAUAGUGACCACGGGUAAUGGGGAAUCAGGGUUCCGUACAGAGACCCUGAGAAAAGGCUACCAUGUGCAAGGAAGGCAGCA